RNAcentral lists this ribosomal RNA (509 nucleotides) under uncultured Glomeraceae. Its description in RNAcentral is "SSU rRNA". It matches the Rfam family "Eukaryotic small subunit ribosomal RNA", at positions 569 to 1078 of the family's 1831-position model. Lineage: Eukaryota; Fungi; Glomeromycota; Glomeromycetes; Glomerales; Glomeraceae. The record is from RNAcentral.
AGCAGCCGCGGUAAUUCCAGCUCCAAUAGCGUAUAUUAAAGUUGUUGCAGUUAAAAAGCUCGUAGUUGAAUUUCGGGAUCGAUACGUCGGUCGUGCCUUCGGUACGCACUGGCGUUUAUCGAUUUCUCCCUUCUGACGAACCAUGAUGUCAUUAAUUUGGUGUUAUGGGGAAUCAGGACUGUUACUUUGAAAAAUUAGAGUGUUUAAAGCAGGCAUUAGCUUGAAUACAUUAGCAUGGAAUAAUGAAAUAGGACGUUCGAACCUAUUUUGUGGUUUCUAGGAUCAACGUAAUGAUUAAUAGGGAUAGUUGGGGGCAUUAGUAUUCAAUUGUCAGAGGUGAAAUUCUUGGAUUUAUUGAAGACUAACUACUGCGAAAGCAUUUGCCAAGGAUGUUUUCAUUAAUCAAGAACGAAAGUUAGGGGAUCGAAGACGAUCAGAUACCGUCGUAGUCUUAACCAUAAACUAUGCCGACUAGGGAUCGGAUGAUGUUAAUUUUUAAUGUAACUUCA